GAUUUUUAGUCUAAACCCCCGAAUCUAGGCGAGCUWUUUUAAGACAGCUUUAUGAGCCCACCCGUCUCUGUUGCAAAAGAGUGGGAAGAUCUUACCAUAGCGGUGACAGACCUAACGAGCCUAGKGAUAGCUGGUUGCUUAAUAAAAGGAUUUUAGUCCAACUUAAAGUUAUUUAUAAUAUUUACAAAACUCGACUUUAAAGUCAUUCAAAUAAGGUACAGCCUAUUUGAAACAGGAUACAACCUCUCCCACUGGGUUCUCAUAUUCUAUUAAAAAUAAGUAGGCUUAAAAGCAGCCACCUUAAAUAAAAGCGUCAUAGCUUCCUUUWUCCAUAAUUUAAUUCCUAAAGCUUCCCCCWACCCUUCAUCUCUAGUAAGCAACUCUAUACCACUAUAGAAGAUUUUAUGUUAAAACUAGUAMCAAGAAGAAGUCCUUCUCUUAAAUGCACAUGUAAAUCAGCACGACAACCCACUGAUAAUUAAC
Molecule: ribosomal RNA, 483 nt
Filed under: Allobates talamancae (Talamanca rocket frog)
Lineage: Eukaryota; Metazoa; Chordata; Amphibia; Anura; Aromobatidae
Description: partial 16S ribosomal RNA
Rfam family: Bacterial large subunit ribosomal RNA (bases 18-134)
Source: RNAcentral